RNAcentral lists this ribosomal RNA (972 nucleotides) under uncultured bacterium. Its description in RNAcentral is "bacterial SSU rRNA". It matches the Rfam family "Bacterial small subunit ribosomal RNA", at positions 8 to 916 of the family's 1533-position model. The record is from RNAcentral.
AGAGUUUGAUCAUGGCUCAGGAUGAACGCUGGCGGCGUGCUUGACACAUGCAAGUCGAACGCAUCGACAAUGUCUGGAAUCACUGGAUGAACGGGAGGAUGAGAAAUCAUUCAAGCGGGAAGAAGGUGAGGAAGGGCGACGUUGGUGAGUGGCGGACGGGUGAGUAACACGUAGGUAAUCUGCCUCAAAGAGGGGGAUAACUGUUCGAAAGAGCAGCUAAUACCGCAUAAUAUCCAGGCUAAGCCUGGAAGAAAGGCGCGAGCCGCUUUGAGAUGAGCCUGCGGCCGAUUAGCUAGUUGGUGAGGUAAUGGCCCACCAAGGCGAGGAUCGGUAGCUGGUCUGAGAGGAUGAUCAGCCACACUGGGAUUGAGAACGGCCCAGACUCCUACGGGAGGCAGCAGUGAGGAAUAUUGCGCAAUGGGGGAAACCCUGACGCAGCGACGCCGCGUGAGCGAUGAAGGCCUUAGGGUUGUAAAGCUCUGUUUUAGGGGACGAAUGUCUAGAUCAGUAAUAUGGGUUUAGAAUGACGGUACCCUAAGAGGAAGCCCCGGCUAACUACGUGCCAGCAGCCGCGGUAAGACGUAGGGGGCGAGCGUUGUCCGGAAUUACUGGGCGUAAAGAGCACGUAGGCGGGAAUUUAAGUCAGAUGUGAAAGACCGGGGCUCAACCCCGGGGUUGCAUUUGAAACUGGAUUUCUUGAGGGCAGGAGAGGAAAGCAGAAUUCCUGGUGUAGCGGUGAAAUGCGUAGAAAUCAGGAGGAAUACCAGUGGCGAAAGCGGCUUUCUGGACUGUCCCUGACGCUGAGGUGCGAAAGCGUGGGUAGCAAACAGGAUUAGAUACCCUGGUAGUCCACGCCGUAAACGAUGGAUACUAGGUGUGGGAGGUAUCGACCCCUUCCGUGCCGCAGCUAACGCAAUAAGUAUCCCGCCUGGGGAGUACGAUCGCAAGGUUGAAACUCAAAGGAAUUGACGG